Molecule: long non-coding RNA, 445 nt
Filed under: Homo sapiens (human)
Lineage: Eukaryota; Metazoa; Chordata; Mammalia; Primates; Hominidae
Description: non-protein coding lnc-MPP2-1:2
Source: RNAcentral
UUCUGCUUCAUUCCAUGGCCAGAGCAAGCCACGUGGGCAAGCCCGAAACCAGGGGGCGGGAAAGUACCCUCCACCCACAAGGAAACCAUGGCAAGCGGUGGUUGCAGACGCAAAAACCAAGGCCAAACAGCUGAGUUUUCUGCCCUGGAGGAGGAAAGUGGUCUCUGAAAGCCAGAAGACUCUCACAUUACAUAAUUCCUGCCAGCUGCUGUCAAGAGCUGCUAAGCUGUCCUCAAGUCCUGUGUCUGAUGUCAAGCUAAUAACAGAUUUAGGGUGCAUUAGUAAAGGUAUCUUAAUCAAGUCUAGAUGCCUUCGAGAUUAGACUCAGCCAUGAUGAGCAGCUAAGGAUUAGCAAGAAAGAUUACAAAUUGUUUCCAGGAAUUUAUUUCUUUCAACACUGAUUAUAUGUAUAGUCUUAAGUCAAAUUAAAAUGUUGUUUAUGUUC